This is a non-coding RNA of Rattus norvegicus (Norway rat), 5093 nucleotides long. NCBI's taxonomy places the organism in Eukaryota, Metazoa, Chordata, Mammalia, Rodentia, Muridae. The record is from RefSeq and is a predicted model, not a curated record.
GGCCUCAUAGGUUUCCUUCUAUGGUCUGGGCAGAUUCUCCCAUCCUCCCGAGACUUGCCAGAUUGUGACACUGGGUGCUUUAUGCUUUUUCUGGAGGGUGUUUUCCAAGUAUGUUGGGAAUGUGGGAGGAAACCACAGCACUGAGAUGGUUUAAGCGGAGGACCUAUUUCCAUACUUUCAAGACCUCUUGAGUAUGAAUCACCCUGCUGGGGGAAUGCCACCUCGGGUUAGUUUAACUGGCAACUUGAUAUGACCUAGAAUCACUGGGGAAGAGAGUCUUAAACAGGUUGGUCUGUGGGCAUGUGUAGGGGAGAUUGUCUUGAUUGUUCAUUAAAGUGGGAAGAUCCAUCUAGAAAGUGAUGGCCCCAUUUCAGGGCUGGACCCUGGACUGUGUAAAAGUAGAGGAAGCUAGCUGAGAAUUAAACAAGCAAGGAAUGAAACAUGCAUGCAUUUGUUUCUCUGUUCUUGACUGAGGAUGUGCAGACUCCUGCCAGCGACGUCCCUGCUAUAAUGGACUGUAACUUGGAUUGUAAGCUAAAAAUAAAUCCGUUCCUCCCCCAUGCUGCUUUUGUGUCAGUACAUAGGUGUCUUGCACAUACUUGGAUCCUCAGAGUUCUUGGGCCCUGUGGCAGUGUUCAAUAGCUGGCUCUAGGGUUUGAUCCAUCUGCCUGCUUUAGGCUCAACACUAUCAAACCCUGGAUUGUUUUCAGUUGAGGGAUCUGUCUGUUUCUGGUCACUGAGGGUAGAGCUCUCAGCCUGAGGUGACCUCUUGGGACUUGGACCUUUACUUUGCCCAUAGUCAUCUCUCCAGCUCUCAACAACUCAUUAACUUCCCUUACCUAGAGGCUGUGGCCAAGCCAAAUUAUGGCUCCCCAACUGGUAAGACUUCUCCCAUCUCAGGCCCCCAGCAUGGCUCGGUUCAAAUAAUAGACCUUACCUCAAGAUGGCACUUGGCUGCUGCCUUCCUACUCAGGUUGCCGUUCCAGGUCCUGCUUCCUCCCUCAGAGAGUCCAGACGCUGUUACACGCUAAAGCUGGAAGUAAGAAGUGAGACCUGGGACAGGAGGGUCUGCAGGAUCCCAGCCCAGUUCUGUCCUGUAGCAAACAUCCAACACAAAACAAGAGCUGCAGUCCAAUCCUGAAGAAUCCGCAAGGCUCACCAACUGACCCGAGGCCACCGAAGAAGCAAGAAGCCACAGGAACCUCACGAGCUGGUCUUUGCUCUACUGAGGAACUCCAGUCAGUCUAAGAGACCAACCCUUCGGAUCACCUGUGACACAGACUGAGGGAACUUCAGUACUCGGAUGGCCACUGGGAAGCAAGUGUGGUAGGAUUCUACCUCUGGAUGAAACAUCUUCAGUUCCCCCGUUUCCCAAAUAGAAGACUCAACCCUUCUUCUGAGCUAUAUAAAGACAAGAAGCUAAGGAACUCCCCCCCCACCACACACACCAAAGCCUAAGGCAUAUUGAAAAUCCCUUGUGAAGUUGUUUCACGUGGUUACUUUUGUCUGCAGUAUUUGGUGAUGUCGCCUGACAAAAGCUAGAGAAUAGAACCAUGAUUGGAUAGAAGAGAGACUCGCAUGAGCAGGUCCAGGUCUCUGAAAAUAUAUGGGCACGGUGACAAGACUGCCUGGAUUGUUGUAUGAUAACCACUGAGAAACAAUGCUCUAUUGUGUUGCCUGAUGCUAGGGCUUGGCCUAUACUAUGGGCAAACAGAAGAUACCCAGAGACUUAAAUGUCUCAUAUUGCCUAUGACAAGGUGAGUGAGUCAUUUUGCCAAUGUUCCUAUUCCACAGAAAAAAAUUUCUUGUCUUCUGGGUCAAAUGGACAGACUGACCUAAAGAAAGCAUGAAAAGGGCUGUUUGUUUAGCCAGCCACACAGGUGGAUAGUCUCCUGUCUGCUAAUCACUUAAUCUCCCCACUGCACCCCACUACCCACCUUGUAGAGUUGUACUGAGCCUGUCCACUCUGACUGUCAUGAACAUUUGCUUCUCCUCCUUUGUACUGAGGACAUCUUAAAGAUGAUCAGAGGCAUCCAGAAUAGCUGUAGGCAGUGUUCCUGGUGCUUCAGCCCCAGCAUUCAGAUUGGUCCUAGCCAAGGAGAUAAGGAACAGGGGGAGGGGAAUAAUGAGUUAGAAACCAUGGGUGGGUGAAUCUUGCAUCUCUGACUGAUUAGCAACCAGGAUGUUUCUUUGUUCAUGCAGAUUCCAUAAAAGUGACAAGCAUAUGAUUUCAAAAGAAAUACAAAUCACGUCAUUUUGUUCCUGGACAAGUGUUACUGUUAGGGUUUGAAAAUCACUGAAGGAAGACCCCAGACCCAAGUAGUAUGCAAGAACAAAGAGGGUUUAUUCUGCAGAAAAAAAACAGCAUCCUAGGGUUACCAUUGCUUCGGGAUGGCGACCCAGAUAAAGAUAUUCAAGCUCCUUUUAUAUAACAGAACUGCUUAAUUGAUUCUGAGAAAACAGACUUCUAAAACCUAGAGUAUAUUCCAAGGAGUAAUCAAAAACAUUAAUUGAAGGUCAUAAAGAAGAAGCUAAACAUAUAUACCACAGGUGCAAGGACAGGAGAUAAAAUAUUGACUGGGUUUAUCUAUACAAAAUGGCAAGAACAACUUAGUUAUGGUUUUUAACUCUCUACGAACCUGUAAACUAGUAACAAAUGAUGAAUGUUUAGCUAGAUAAUUACUCCUAGUGGAUAUGCAUGUAGACAUGCCCUAUUAUAAACCUCUUAUUCAACUUAUGGCCUGAAUGUAUGUGUAAACGCAUAGUGAACUUUUUACCAUGUGAUCAUACGCUCUGAAAGUACAAGUGCUGAGAACAAAGAGCAAAGACAGGUCUCCCUCCCCUUUUCUUCAACUUGGGUUCAACUUAGAGCUAGGCAAUUCCUGCUGAGGAUAGAAAAAAAGCUGUUUUACCUAACCUCUGGCUGUUUUACUGUGAGGUGCUAAACCAGAGACUGCAGCUUCUAGCCUCAGAGACACCCAGACAGGCAAAUUGUCUGUGGAAGCAAAUUACCUUACACUUAGGAUGGUUAGCAAAUGGUUUAUGACCUAGUUUCUGAGUGGAGACAAAAUGAGAUUUUUAAAAAAGGACCCUUCAUUAUAAGUACAGAGAGAAUAGGUAUUAUCAAUUUCAAAUCAUUUUAGACUACAUAAACAUUUAUGACAUAUAACACUGUAUUCUUCAGGAAAGUAAAACAUUAAACGGAUUGAAAAAUAUCUGAGUCAGUCUAGGAGAGUUCCCAAGCCUUGAACCUGCACAGUUGUUGAAGUACAAUUUGUGAGUUAGCCUUAAGUUUCAAAGCUCUCCCAGGCUGCAGACUUGUUCUAUUCAUUCACGUUCUGCUGUUUAGUUAAAAGACCUCACUGUACCUUAAUGUGAUUCAGUCUCCAUAUGAUUGACAAACUCUUAUAUUUCUUUUAUAUACUAUAUUUAUAUCAUAUAUAUCAUCAAAGUUUGCUUUAGGCAAACUAUCUUUGUUAUUAAGGUUUUAUUUUCUGGGAACAAUGUCCAGUAGAAUACAUUUAGGAGGAAGCCUGUAAACUGAUCAGUUGCCAAAUCUAUUAUUUCUGAGUUUGCUUAAGGGCAGGUGUGCCAAAGGAACUCUGGGCCUGUCCAACUUUUUGUGCUUUUCACAAUCUCUAUGGCAGGCAAGGAAGAGUCCCAAGUAGGGCCAGAUAAUAAGUUAACUCCUUUGAGAGUAGAAGAAAUUCUCUGGGGGAAAGACAUAAACGAGUCAUAAUGUAAAAAGUCCCCCAUACAUGCAACACAUAGAGAUUAGAAACCCAAGACAAAAGACAGCACAAUGGCAAAGACAGCAUCCGGCUCAACUUUGCUGGACCGUGUGUGCAUCAGACUGCUGUGCUGGCUUCAUGGCUCUCUGGCUGUGUGCCAUCUGAAGCUAUUGGUUUACUAGAGGCAAACUGAUACUUCUGGAACUCUCUUAGGGCAUCUGAAACAGUGGUGACUAAAACAAAGACACCUACAUAAUGACACUCAGAGUUUAAGCAGGAGUUUCCACAGUGGCCAUGACAGCCGUGGCCAUUUUGGCAAGUUGACUGAAGUCUCCUCCAGUUUAGGCAGAGAAACUCAACUCAAAGGAAGAAAGGUUUAUUUUGGCUCAUGGUCUCUGAAAUCAGCCAGGGCACUUUCACCCACAUGGUGAGGCCUUAUCAUGGCAGAAGCAUGUGGAGAAAAGCUGCUCUGCUUGCUAGUGGCAAACAAAAAGUAGGUCUCUCUUCUAUGUUUCUACCACAGAAAUCCUAUCCAAUUCCCAAACCCAUUAAAGUAUGACUUCAUAUAAUCCAUGAGGGAUCAAUCCUUUGAUGCAUAAGCUUUCUGAGGAUGUAUGGCAUGGUGGCAUACUCCUUUAAUCUCAGCAUUCAGGAGGCAAGGGCACACAGACUUCUGAGUUUCAGGCCAGACAAGGCCACAUAGUGAGACUGUAUCUCAAAACAAAAACAAAACCCAAUAUCAAAUGGGCAAGGCAUAAAAACAAUACCGAGUUUAGAAUAAUCUUCAAAACCGUUCCUAAACAGGUUUGAUUUAUGGUAUUCUAAUACUCCAUUGAAUGGGAUAACUAUUUAAAUGGUGACUUUUUCUAGAGAAGGCUCAUUAUGAGUUGAUUCGCAAAAUAGCCACCAUUUUAGGGUUCCAGAUCCACACUUCCAGCAUGAAGUGGAGUUACUCCGUGGAAGUCUCCCCAUUCUCACCUCCCCACCCCUUCCCACCACACUCCCAGCUUCCAUUUUACCAGCUUCCUAGUCUUUGCUGUUAUUCCUCUCAACCAAUAAUUCUGACUUUCCAGAAAAAUAAAAUAAAACUCAACACCAGUCACUUGUUAAAGAGCAUAUUUAUUAUUUCUCUGGUAUAGACAAAGCAUCCAUUGUACAUUUGUCAGUUCAUGACUUUGUCAUCACGUCUACCUAGAAUAAUUGUCACCAAACACAGUGUGAGCAACUGGGAGGGGGGAGGAGGGCUGAGGAAUGUGCCCUGAGGUCUUUCAGAAUAAAUAGCUACAAACACAAAUGUGACAAUAAAAUAAAUUAAAAAAUUAAAUAGUAUUAAAUCAAUAGGAUUAAAUUAAAUAAAAAUUC